This 406-nucleotide ribosomal RNA is filed under the name uncultured bacterium. RNAcentral describes it as "bacterial SSU rRNA". It matches the Rfam family "Bacterial small subunit ribosomal RNA", at positions 397 to 793 of the family's 1533-position model. The record is from RNAcentral.
CCGCGUGUAUGAAGUAAGGCCUUCGGGUUGUAAAGUACUUUCAGUCAGUGAGGAAGGUGGAUAUGUUAAUAGCAUAUUCAUUUGACGUUUAGCUGCAGAAGAAGCACCGGCUAACUCCGUGCCAGCAGCCGCGGUAAUACGGAGGGUGCGAGCGUUAAUCGGAAUUACUGGGCGUAAAGCGCAUGCAGGUGGUUUGUUAAGUCAGAUGUGAAAGCCCGGGGCUCAACCUCGGAAUUGCAUUUGAAACUGGCAAACUAGAGUACUGUAGAGGGGGUAGAAUUUCAGGUGUAGCGGUGAAAUGCGUAGAGAUCUGAAGGAAUACCGGUGGCGAAGGCGGCCCCCUGGACAGAUACUGACACUCAGAUGCGAAAGCGUGGGGAGCAAACAGGAUUAGAUACCCUGGUAG